CCUGGCUCAGGACGAACGCUGGCGGCGUGCUUAACACAUGCAAGUCGAACGAUGAAGCCCAGCUUGCUGGGUGGAUUAGUGGCGAACGGGUGAGUAACACGUGGGUGAUCUGCCCUGCACUCUGGGAUAAGCCUGGGAAACUGGGUCUAAUACCGGAUAUGACCUCGGGAUGCAUGUCCUGGGGUGGAAAGUUUUUCGGUGCAGGAUGAGCCCGCGGCCUAUCAGCUUGUUGGUGGGGUAAUGGCCUACCAAGGCGACGACGGGUAGCCGGCCUGAGAGGGCGACCGGCCACACUGGGACUGAGACACGGCCCAGACUCCUACGGGAGGCAGCAGUGGGGAAUAUUGCACAAUGGGCGCAAGCCUGAUGCAGCGACGCCGCGUGAGGGAUGACGGCCUUCGGGUUGUAAACCUCUUUCACCCAUGACGAAGCGCAAGUGACGGUAGUGGGAGAAGAAGCACCGGCCAACUACGUGCCAGCAGCCGCGGUAAUACGUAGGGUGCGAGCGUUGUCCGGAAUUACUGGGCGUAAAGAGCUCGUAGGCGGUUUGUCGCGUCGUCUGUGAAAUCCCGCAGCUCAACUGCGGGCUUGCAGGCGAUACGGGCAGACUCGAGUACUGCAGGGGAGACUGGAAUUCCUGGUGUAGCGGUGAAAUGCGCAGAUAUCAGGAGGAACACCGGUGGCGAAGGCGGGUCUCUGGGCAGUAACUGACGCUGAGGAGCGAAAGCGUGGGUAGCGAACAGGAUUAGAUACCCUGGUAGUCCACGCCGUAAACGGUUGCCUAGGUGUGGGUUUCCU
Molecule: ribosomal RNA, 798 nt
Filed under: Rhodococcus sp. BAB-5159
Lineage: Bacteria; Bacillati; Actinomycetota; Actinomycetes; Mycobacteriales; Nocardiaceae
Description: bacterial SSU rRNA
Rfam family: Bacterial small subunit ribosomal RNA
Source: RNAcentral